RNAcentral lists this non-coding RNA (200 nucleotides) under human gut metagenome. Its description in RNAcentral is "raiA RNA". It matches the Rfam family "raiA RNA". The record is from RNAcentral.
CGCGCGUCCGUGAUUGAAAGUCGAUGCCAGUCGCAGGCGAAACGAUCCACGUAAGCCGGAAAAAUUCCGGUGAGCAUGGUGCGGCUUAGAAGUAAGUCCGGCCGGCCGACAGAGCCGAGAGGGUCAGUAGUGGGGAGGCAGAGUCCUUAUGAGCGAACGCUCCAGCCGGCGAGUGUGGGGUAAAAGAUCAGCGUCGGGCG